UUAAAGGAAUUGACGGGGCCCGCACAAGCGGUGGAGCAUGUGGUUUAAUUCGACGCAACGCGAAGAACCUUACCAGGGCUUGACAUCCCCUGACCGCGUAUGAAAGUACGUUUUCACCCUCGGGUGACAGGGAGACAGGUGGUGCAUGGUUGUCGUCAGCUCGUGUCGUGAGAUGUUGGGUUAAGUCCCGCAACGAGCGCAACCCCUACGUUUAGUUGCUAACGCGUGAAGGCGAGCACUCUAGACGAACUGCCGUUGACAAAACGGAGGAAGGUGGGGAUGACGUCAAAUCAUCAUGCCCCUUAUGUUCUGGGCUACACACGUGCUACAAUGGCCGGUACAGACGGACGCAAAGCCGCGAGGUGGAGCAAAUCCUAAAAAGCCGGUCUCAGUUCGGAUUGCAGGCUGCAAUUCGCCUGCAUGAAGUCGGAAUCGCUAGUAAUCGCAGGUCAGCAUACUGCGGUGAAUACGUUCCCGGGCCUU
This 483-nucleotide ribosomal RNA is filed under the name uncultured Pelotomaculum sp. RNAcentral's name for it is "bacterial SSU rRNA". It matches the Rfam family "Bacterial small subunit ribosomal RNA", at positions 901 to 1382 of the family's 1533-position model. Lineage: Bacteria; Bacillati; Bacillota; Clostridia; Eubacteriales; Desulfotomaculaceae. The record is from RNAcentral.